RNAcentral lists this long non-coding RNA (1275 nucleotides) under Salmo salar (Atlantic salmon). RNAcentral describes it as "lncRNA (ENSSSAG00000113343.1)". The record is from RNAcentral. Lineage: Eukaryota; Metazoa; Chordata; Actinopteri; Salmoniformes; Salmonidae.
AUAAAACAUGUAUUUUUAAUCAUUGCUUUGUUUUAAAUCUUUAUUUUUUAAGAAUAAACAUUGACAAAACUGCAAGUAGUAAUGUAAUAUUGUAAAAAUAUUAAACCAGAGCUUAUGUAAAAAAAUAAACAAACUUUGUACAAUGAAACAUGUCAACAUUUCAAGCACAUUCAAAUUGACAUUCUAGUGUAAAUUACAUACCAUAACUCUUAGAUAGUAUUUACAUCACAGAGUUCUGAAUCCAACCGUUGGCUUUAUGUCCCGAUGGAGGUGGAGAAUGUCGAGAAAACCACUUUAUGCACACGAGAAGAUUUAUUUCAAAAUGCACACACAGAUUGCAAAGGCAUGACGUUGUCAUAAGUGGAAGGUCAGCGUAUGCUUUACCAGAGUAACCUGUGUUUUCACUUACGUGGAGCCAUACAGAGAACUGAGAGAAGAGGACAGGAUAACAUGAACCUAAAACAUGAAAUAUCUCCUAAAUUUCUGUAGCUACGUCCCAAAUAGGACCUUUUACCUUAUAUGGUGCACUACUUUAGGCAAGUGGCGCACUAUAUAGGGAAUAGGCUGCCAUUUGAGAUUCAUCCUGUCUAUUCUUAUGACCUAUGACUAUUCACAUUCAAAACAAACGUGAUAAAGGAAAUCUAUAGCUUGAAGAGUUGCAACUGAGGAUUCACUCCGAACAUAAGAAGGGUCAAGCAUGUGACCCGUGGAGGAACAGAUGAAAAUACCAAACGAACAACAUGGAAACCACUCUUCUCAAUGUGAAAUGCUUACAGGUUGAAAAUCAUGGAUAAUGGCCAAACUAGUGGUUACAGAAUGGACCUUUUUCACAUUGCUGGUGAAUUCAAUUGAAGUAAAAGCUGCAGUUAAGAGUUUGCUUAUCCACAGAGCACAUGUUGUGUACCCAUUCACAUUUAAUGCUCUUUUCUAUCGCAUUAUAUCUGAAAACAGACUGCCUGAUAAAAUCUUUGGUUUGCUUUCUUUUCCCUUGAAGAUUGUUUCCAUUCUAAAUGUGUUUUCUUUUAUAUUUUGGUCCUCAGGCAAAAUAUUUCUCUCUCCGUGCUCUCUCUUCCCUCUCCCCUCUCCCCUCUCUCUCCCCUCGCUUUCCCCUCUCUUUCCCCUCUCUCCCUCUCUCUCCUCUCUCUCUCGAUCUCUCGCUCCCUGUCUCUCGCUCCCUGUCUCUCGCUCCCUGUCUCUCGCUCCCUGUCUCUCGCUCCCUGUCUUUCUCUCUCUUCUCUCUCUCGCGCUCGCUCUCUCAACACUUUUUUUUUCGAC